This 460-nucleotide ribosomal RNA is filed under the name uncultured bacterium. Its description in RNAcentral is "partial 16S ribosomal RNA". It matches the Rfam family "Bacterial small subunit ribosomal RNA", at positions 338 to 795 of the family's 1533-position model. The record is from RNAcentral.
CCUACGGGUGGCAGCAGUGAGGAAUAUUGGUCAAUGGGCGCGAGCCUGAACCAGCCAAGUCGCGUGAAGGAUGAAUGCCCUACGGGUUGUAAACUUCUUUUAUAAAGGAAUAAAGUGAGGCACGUGUGCCUUUUUGUAUGUAAUUUAUGAAUAAGGAUCGGCUAACUUCGUGCCCGCAGCCGCGGGAAUACGGAGGAUCCGAGCGUUAUCCGGAUUUAUUGGGUUUAAAGGGAGCGUAGGUGGGUUGUUAAGUCAGUUGUGAAAGUUUGCGGCUCAACCGUAAAAUUGCAAUUGAUACUGGCAGUCUUGAGUACAGUUGAGGUAGGCGGAAUUCGUGGUGUAGCGGUGAAAUGCUUAGAUAUCACGAAGAACUCCGAUUGCGAAGGCAGCUUACUAGACGGCCACUGACGUUGAUGCUCGAAAGUGUGGGGAUCAAACAGGAUUAGAUACCCUUGUAGUC